Bemisia tabaci is the source of this 73-nucleotide non-coding RNA. NCBI's taxonomy places the organism in Eukaryota, Metazoa, Arthropoda, Insecta, Hemiptera, Aleyrodidae. The record is from the annotation of a RefSeq genome assembly.
GCCCCUGUGGCCUAAUGGAUAAGGCAUCGGUCUCCUAUACCGGGGAUUGUGGGUUCGAGUCCCACCAGGGGUA